CUCAGUUGAACUUGAUCCAGUCCAAAGAAGAAGAAACCAAGGCACAGAUAGAGUUUGAGUGACUUGCCAGCAUUUCACAGUUUGGCUUCAAGAUCAGAUUUUCCUAAUGUAGGAAUCUUUCUACUUUACCACGCCCUGCACUACCAGUCCCUGAAGUAGCAUUUUUUUCUCCUAACAGAGUUAGGAAGAAUUUGCCUGUAGAAGAGAUCUCCUUAAACUCAGCAGCAUUACCCAGACCCUCCAGUCUCAGAGCUCUGGCCUCAGCCUACUUGCAGCUAUGGCUAAAUCUCCCCUUGCAGUGCAAAGGCUCUUUUUGCACUUAAUGGCAGGAUAGAGGCUCGGCCUCCCCAGCUCUAAUGUUUCCAUUUCUUGGGGACUUUACAGCUGCCUCAAGGUGGUCCCCCCUCCCCCUGCCCAGUCUCUCUGCUUCAGGAUCCAUUCGUCCUGGUGUGUGAAUCCCUGAAGUAGCAUUUGAAUCCUCUUGAUUCAGCCGGAGCAUCUUGGAAAAGUUGUCUCUCUCUCUUUCUCUCUCUCAUACAUAUAAAAAGCCAGCUUUUCUCUCUGCUGUGAAGAGGAAACUUCUGGAAGAAGGCCACAUAGAAGUGACAUUUGCUUUUUGGAGAUUUACUGGGGAGCACAUGGGAGCCCAGCUGAGAGUCCUGUAGGAGGAAAAAAUUACUACACAAAUGUACAUUUUCACCCUUGCUUAAUGAAGACAGAAGAUCAGAAAGAAGUAAGGACAUGUGACUCUAGCUCCUCACUGGGGUAUGUCUAAAUCCUUUUCACAGACCUUAGGACUUAGACAAUGGAAGGAGCAUUUGUAUGCAAGUCAGGAUUUGGUGUCCAGUCCCAGAGUGUCUUGGC
RNAcentral lists this long non-coding RNA (864 nucleotides) under Vulpes vulpes (red fox). Its description in RNAcentral is "lncRNA (ENSVVUG00000020672.1)". The record is from RNAcentral. Lineage: Eukaryota; Metazoa; Chordata; Mammalia; Carnivora; Canidae.